AGUGAACGCUGGCGGUAGGCCUAACACAUGCAAGUCGAACGGCAGCACAGUAAGAGCUUGCUCUUACGGGUGGCGAGUGGCGGACGGGUGAGGAAUACAUCGGAAUCUACUUUUUCGUGGGGGAUAACGUAGGGAAACUUACGCUAAUACCGCAUACGACCUACGGGUGAAAGCAGGGGAUCUUCGGACCUUGCGCGAUUGAAUUAGCCGAUGUCGGAUUAGCUAGUUGGCGGGGUAAAGGCCCACCACGGCGACGAUCCGUAGCUGGUCUGAGAGGGGGAUCCGCCACACUGGAACUGAGACACGGUACAGACUCCUACGGGAGGCAGCAGUGGGGAAUAUUGGACAAUGGGCGCAAGCCUGAUCCAGCCAUACCGCGUGGGUGAAGAAGGCCUUCGGGUUGUAAAGCCCUUUUGUUGGGAAAGAAAAGCAGCAGGUUAAUACCCCGCUGUUCUGACGGUACCCAAAGAAUAAGCACCGGCUAACUUCGUG
RNAcentral lists this ribosomal RNA (492 nucleotides) under uncultured bacterium. Its description in RNAcentral is "partial 16S ribosomal RNA". It matches the Rfam family "Bacterial small subunit ribosomal RNA", at positions 29 to 507 of the family's 1533-position model. The record is from RNAcentral.